RNAcentral lists this ribosomal RNA (446 nucleotides) under uncultured bacterium. RNAcentral describes it as "bacterial SSU rRNA". It matches the Rfam family "Bacterial small subunit ribosomal RNA", at positions 330 to 792 of the family's 1533-position model. The record is from RNAcentral.
CCCAGACUCCUACGGGAGGCAGCAGUGGGGAAUAUUGCACAAUGGGGGGAACCCUGAUGCAGCGACGCCGCGUGGGUGAAGAAGUAUUUCGGUAUGUAAAGCCCUAUCAGCAGGGAAGAAAAAUGACGGUACCUGACUAAGAAGCUCCGGCUAAAUACGUGCCAGCAGCCGCGGUAAUACGUAUGGAGCAAGCGUUAUCCGGAUUUACUGGGUGUAAAGGGAGCGUAGGCGGCCCUGUAAGUCUGAUGUGAAAAUUUGGGGCUCAACCCCAAACGUGCAUUGGAAACUGCAGGGCUUGAGUGCCGGAGAGGCAGGCGGAAUUCCUAGUGUAGCGGUGAAAUGCGUAGAUAUUAGGAGGAACACCAGUGGCGAAGGCGGCCUGCUGGACGGUAACUGACGCUGAGGCUCGAAAGCGUGGGGAGCAAACAGGAUUAGAUACCCGAGUA